Molecule: ribosomal RNA, 999 nt
Filed under: Neoroussoella peltophora
Lineage: Eukaryota; Fungi; Ascomycota; Dothideomycetes; Pleosporales; Thyridariaceae
Description: SSU rRNA
Rfam family: Eukaryotic small subunit ribosomal RNA
Source: RNAcentral
GCUUCAUUAAAUCAGUUAUCGUUUAUUUGAUAGUACCUUACUCCUUGGAUACCCGUGGUAAUUCUAGAGCUAAUACAUGCAAAAAACCCCGACUUCGGGAGGGGUGUAUUUAUUAGAUAAAAAACCAAUGCCCUUCGGGGCUCUUUGGUGAUUCAUGAUAACUUAACGGAUCGCAUGGCCUUGCGCCGGCGACGGUUCAUUCAAAUUUCUGCCCUAUCAACUUUCGAUGGUAAGGUAUUGGCUUACCAUGGUUUCAACGGGUAACGGAUUUUUAGGGAAAGAUCCCGGAGAGGGAGCCUGAGAAACGGCUACCACAUCCAAGGAAGGCAGCAGGCGCGCAAAUUACCCAAUCCCGACACGGGGAGGUAGUGACAAUAAAUACUGAUACAGGGCUCUUUUGGGUCUUGUAAUCGGAAUGAGUACAAUUUAAAUACCUUAACGAGGAACAAUUGGAGGGCAAGUCUGGUGGGCCAGCAGCCGCGGUAAUUCCAGCUCCAAUAGCGUAUAUUAAAGUUGUUGCAGUUAAAAAGCUCGUAGUUGAACCUUGGGCCUGGCUGGCCGGUCCGCCUCACCGCGUGUACUGGUCCGGCCGGGCCUUUCCUUCUGGAGAACCCCAUGCCCUUCACUGGGCGUGGCGGGGAACCAGGACUUUUACUUUGAGAAAAUUAGAGUGUUCAAAGCAGGCCUUUGCUCGAAUACGUUAGCAUGGAAUAAUAGAAUAGGACGUGCGGUCCUAUUUUGUUGGUUUCUAGAACCGCCGUAAUGAUUAAUAGGGAUAGUCGGGGGCGUCAGUAUUCAAUUGUCAGAGGUGAAAUUCUUGGAUCUAUUGAAGACUAACUACUGCGAAAGCAUUCGCCAAGGAUGUUUUCAUUAAUCAGUGAACGAAAGUUAGGGGAUCGAAGACGAUCAGAUACCGUCGUAGUCUUAACCGUAAACUAUGCCGACUAGGGAUCGGGCGAUGUUUCUAUCUUGACUCGCUCGGCACCUUACGAGAAAUCA